RNAcentral lists this transfer RNA (541 nucleotides) under uncultured Prochlorococcus sp. Its description in RNAcentral is "partial 16S-23S ribosomal RNA intergenic spacer". The stretch from base 212 to 284 matches the Rfam family "tRNA". Lineage: Bacteria; Bacillati; Cyanobacteriota; Cyanophyceae; Synechococcales; Prochlorococcaceae. The record is from RNAcentral.
CAGGGAGACAACAAAAUGUUUAAUAUUAUUAUUUUGUCACCUUAGGUCGAUCGGUAUCUCACGUUCUUAAUUUAUUAAGAAUUUCAUUUCCUAAGUUUUUCUAGGUCACACCCAUUAUUUUUCCUGGGCCAUUAGCUCAGGUGGUUAGAGCGCACCCCUGAUAAGGGUGAGGUCCCUGGUUCAAGUCCAGGAUGGCCCAUAUCUCUAUGUUGGGGGUAUAGCUCAGUUGGUAGAGCGCCUGCUUUGCAAGCAGGAUGUCAGCGGUUCGAGUCCGCUUACCUCCACUGAUUACCACCUCUUCCAUAAUCGGUAGAAAGGAAAUUUUUUGAAUUGUGAUCAAAUUCUGAACGAAUCUAGCUUCCUAAUGUAAUCAUUAAGAUGCUGGACUCAUUGAAUUAAAUUCAUUGUUUUCAGAGAACCUUGACAACUGCAUAGAUUAUUUUUAAAGACAAUAAGCAUCUUUAAUGAUGCUGAUUUAUUAUUUGUGCGAAUGCAUAAAAUAACAAUUCUAUUAAGCUGAUGCUUCAAUUUUGAAGUUAUU